Molecule: long non-coding RNA, 867 nt
Organism: Anas platyrhynchos (mallard)
Lineage: Eukaryota; Metazoa; Chordata; Aves; Anseriformes; Anatidae
Source: RefSeq, a predicted model, not a curated record
GGGGCAGAAAGCUGGUGCUGCGCAGCGAAGGAGAGCUGGACACGUACACCGGGGAUGUUUGCAGCUUUCCAGCACCACAGGGAGGACACAGCCCUGGCCGAGAGGGCAAGCUGCAGGAGGGCUCUGCUUUAUUCAUGCUCACUAUGUGCCAAGGAGAAGCAGGGGACACAAAUCCAGGAGCUGGGCAGGUUCAGGAAGGCAGCACUCAGAGAGACCUUAGGAGACAUCCAGGAGCAGAGCCAGGUUUCAGCUUUCGCUGACGGACUUUUCAAGAUCAUUAAAUAAAUGUCACAGGAACUCUGGAGGUGGCGAGUAAUCAGAGCAACUGGGAGAGCUGAAACGGCUGCAAGGGCAAAGAAAAUAUUUUGCAAAGGAAACAUCGCUGAACUCUUCCACGGAAGACAAAGGAGGUGAAAAAGGAGAAACUUUCUGUUUCAUUUUGAAUGGAUAUUUUUCCGCUCAUGUUGCUUUCCGGAAGACAAAAAAAUGUCAGCAGAAAUGCUUUCAUCAAAAGGUAAUUCUGCUCGAAAUGUCUGGCGGGUGAAGAGAGGCUUUCAUCUCUCGGCUCUCCCCGCUGACGGCCGGGACAAGUCACCUUUUCCAGCAGGGGAGCUGGGAUGGAGCGAGCUGUUUUUUUCAGGGACACCGGCAUCGAGCUGUCCUUGAGGUCAGGCCUUUUUUGCCGGGCACACGCAGUGCUCUGUGCCAGCUCACAGGCAGAAGUAUAAGUGGAAUUUAGGGAGCUUAUUUAUUGGCCUCCUGCUCCAGCCCUUAGUCUGGAAACCAUUUGAGGAAAAUUGAUCGAAUGAUUAUGUUAUGAGUUGUGCUCUUGCCGUUGUUAUUGUCAUAAACUCUUACAGUUCCUCA